UGUAUUUAAUAUAGAAAUAUGAAAUGCCAAGUCCUAUGGUUUACCUUCUCGUGGUGCAUUUCGUUAAAUAAGUUACAAAAGUUUUACACUUUGUAAUUUAUAAACUAAAAACCAAGGCAAUAUUUUUAGAAGUUAUUUAAGGGAAAUAUAUAACCCCAUGCGUUUUUACUUAAUGUGCAAAAUUAUCUGAAUUAAUUUAUAAACGAAGUAUUUACUAAACGCAACCUAAUGGAAGUAUACAAUCUAUAAUUUGUGAUCGAUAGUAGAUGGUAAAUUAAUGUUACACGCUCUAAGCAAGUAUUACAGACCAUCGUUUAGCAAAGCAAUUUUAAAACAACCAAUUUAACUAGAGUUUAGAAGAACAACGAGUGAUUUAAGGAACUUAAUGAAGGAGAACGCUCCGAAGCAGAAAUAGAUCUUAUUUAUUUUAUCAUUAUUUGAUAGGUGAAAGCGGAGCAACAUGGCGAACGUUUUGAAAGCCCUGAUUUACUGCAAAACUA
Molecule: long non-coding RNA, 500 nt
Organism: Hydra vulgaris (swiftwater hydra)
Lineage: Eukaryota; Metazoa; Cnidaria; Hydrozoa; Anthoathecata; Hydridae
Source: RefSeq, a predicted model, not a curated record